CAAUAGCGUAUAUUAAAGUUGUUGCAGUUAAAAGCUCGUAGUUGGAUUUCUGGCUGGAGCGAUCGGUCCGCCCCGCAAGGGGUGUGUACUAGCGUCGUCUCCGACCAUCCUUGUGGGAACUGUGCGGCCGUUAACUCGGUUGUAUAUGGGAACACAUCGUUUACUGUGAAAAAUUAGAGUGUUUAAAGCAGGCUUAAGCCGUUGAAUACAUUAGCAUGGAAUAAUAAGAUAAGACUUGGGUCAUUAUUUUGUUGGUUUUGCGGAUCGAGGUAAUGAUUAAUAGGGAUAGUUGGGGGCAUUCGUAUUAACGCGUCAGAGGUGGAAUUCUUGGAUUGCGUUACGACGAACUACUGCGAAAGCAUUUGCCAAGGAUGUUUUCAUUUGAUCAAGAACGAAAGUUAGGGGAAUCGAAGACGAUCAGAUACCAU
Molecule: ribosomal RNA, 428 nt
Filed under: uncultured eukaryote
Lineage: Eukaryota
Description: bacterial SSU rRNA
Rfam family: Eukaryotic small subunit ribosomal RNA
Source: RNAcentral